RNAcentral lists this long non-coding RNA (577 nucleotides) under Nicotiana benthamiana. RNAcentral describes it as "long non-coding RNA (NBEN_LNC014574)". Lineage: Eukaryota; Viridiplantae; Streptophyta; Magnoliopsida; Solanales; Solanaceae. The record is from RNAcentral.
GCGUCAAUGGUCUGAGGAAUGAACUGGAAAAGGUCGGUGUCCGACUUGGCAGUGCCAGUAAGGAUGCGCAUCAAAAACUGGUGGGAAGGUGGACCAUGGAACCACCACUCAAGAUCAGAGGCCAGAAGUUUCUGGACCUUGUUAACGUCACGUGAGCUCAAGGCUUCAUAUAGGGCGAACACCACCCCUUUGUUUCUAGUCUCUUCCAGAGUUUCCUGAGAGUUAGCCAGUUCCGAUAGAAGAGGAGAAUAUUAGUAUAACUUUUACAGGAAGAAUUAAGUAGUGAUAAGAUGGAUUUGGAGGGGAGAAGGGUAGAUAGAAUAUAUAGGAGGAUUCAAGGGUAUUGGGGAAAUUAUGGAAAAUUCCAGGGUUGCUUUUGGGUAACUGAAUGGAUUAGUUUAUUUCACGCUCCUUUCAGUGCAUGAACACAACGUGCCUAUGAGUGAAUGGUUGAAUAUUCGCGUUUUCUUUGCGUGGUGACAGACUUAACUGGGGCCCAUCAACUGACGUUUAAAUUGUGAGAUGUCUAGCCAAUUUUCGUGGAUCCCACUAUAUGCUGACCGUGCCAAAAUCUUAC